Molecule: transfer RNA, 68 nt
Filed under: Sphaerodactylus townsendi
Lineage: Eukaryota; Metazoa; Chordata; Lepidosauria; Squamata; Sphaerodactylidae
Description: tRNA-Arg
Rfam family: tRNA
About the family: Transfer RNA (tRNA) molecules are approximately 80 nucleotides in length.
Source: RNAcentral
UUGUAUCUCUGUGGCAGAGCAUCUGCUUUCUAUGCAAAAGGUCCUGGAUUCAAUUUCCAGCAUCUCAA